This is a long non-coding RNA of Chelonia mydas (Green sea turtle), 632 nucleotides long. RefSeq lists it as uncharacterized. The transcript has 4 exons. The record is from RefSeq and is a predicted model, not a curated record. NCBI's taxonomy places the organism in Eukaryota, Metazoa, Chordata, Testudines, Cheloniidae.
GUGUCUCUAAUCCCAUGAACUAUCGACCAACCACUCUUUGAGACAAAGCACUCUGAGGUUAGGGUGAAGGAUCUUCCUGUGUUCCUGGGAGAGGAGAUGAGGAGUGGCCUGGAGAGUAAUCAGAGAGCAAAUGACGAGCUGUACCAGUUGUAGGCCCAAUUUGAGGAAGAUAUCGAUAGCUUCGGAAAUUGCCCAGGAAGUUAGCUCCAGGGAGCGAUUCUUCGGCAGCCAACCAUUCAGCUGGAGAUUCAGUUCCUGGAAGAGAGAAAGGGCCAUCUGGGUGGAAGUCAGUGCUGUUUUGUAAGAUCGGCCCUUGAGUAAUCCGUCGUCAAAAUAUGGGAAGACUAAAAUUGCUUCUCAACGAAGCAGUCUACAUAUCCAGAGGUCUUGGCCCUGAAGACCUUUAGUGUGUGCAGAGACCAUCUGCGGUCUUGGACAAGAACAUUCAACCAUCAAAUGGGAGGUCCUCAACAGUGUUCUGAACCUCUCUCAGGAACCCUGAGAGCUGGAACCAUGAUGCCCUGCACAUAACAACCGUUGCGGAGAUGGAUCUGGUAGCAGUGUCCAAGACAUCCAAGGAUGCUUGAAGAGAGGUUCUGGCUAAUAAUUGACCCUCCACAAUGAUGGCCUGA